Molecule: ribosomal RNA, 529 nt
Filed under: Megacrex inepta (New Guinea flightless rail)
Lineage: Eukaryota; Metazoa; Chordata; Aves; Gruiformes; Rallidae
Description: partial 12S ribosomal RNA
Rfam family: Bacterial small subunit ribosomal RNA
Source: RNAcentral
GCUCGGCCCUAAAUUCAGAUACUUACCCCACCAAAGUAUCCGCCAGAGAACUACGAGCACAAACGCUUAAAACUCUAAGGACUUGGCGGUGCCCCAAAUCCACCUAGAGGAGCCUGUUCUGUAAUCGAUAACCCACGAUAUACCCGACCCCUUCUUGCCAGGAGCAGCCUACAUACCGCCGUCCCCAGCCCACCUCCCCUGAGAGCCCAAACAGUGAGCACAACAGCAUCCCACUAACAAGACAGGUCAAGGUAUAGCCCAUGAAGGGGAAGAAAUGGGCUACAUUUUCUAAAAUAGAAAACUCACGAAAAGAAGCCUGAAAAACUUCCAGAAGGAGGAUUUAGCAGUAAAGAAGGACAAGAACACCCUCUUAAAUCUGGCCCUGGAGCACGUACAUACCGCCCGUCACCCUCCUCACAACCAACAACACCAGUAACUAAUACAAACACCAGGUAAAAGAUGAGGUAAGUCGUAAACAAGGUAAGUGUACCGGAAGGUGUACUUAGCAUCAAGACGUAGCUAUAACACA